AACAAGGAUUCCCCUAGUAACGGCGAGUGAAGCGGGAAGAGCUCAAAUUUGAAAUCUGGCAGUCUUCGAUUGUCCGAGUUGUAAUCUAUAGAGGCGUUUUCCGUGCCGGACCGUGUCCAAGUCUCCUGGAAAGGAGUAUCAAAGAGGGUGAUAAUCCCGUACUUAACACGACCACCGGUGCUCUGUGAUACGUCUUCUACGAGUCGAGUUGUUUGGGAAUGCAGCUCAAAAUGGGUGGUGAAUUCCAUCUAAAGCUAAAUAUUGGCGAGAGACCGAUAGCGAACAAGUACCGUGAGGGAAAGAUGAAAAGCACUUUGGAAAGAGAGUUAAACAGUACGUGAAAUUGUUGAAAGGGAAACGAUUGAAGUCAGUCGUGUUCUUUGGAUUCAGCCAGUUCUGCUGGUCUACUUCCUUGGAACGGGUCAACAUCAGUUUUGUCCGGUGGAUAAAGGUAGUAGGAAUGUGACUUCUCCGGAAGUGUUAUAGCCUAUUAUCACAUACACUGGGUGAGACUGAGGACUGCAGCUCGCCUUUAUGGCCGGCCUUCGGGCACGUUCGAGCUUAGGAUGUUGACAUAAUGGCUUUAAACGACCCGU
RNAcentral lists this ribosomal RNA (596 nucleotides) under Trichosporon asahii. Its description in RNAcentral is "partial large subunit ribosomal RNA". It matches the Rfam family "Eukaryotic large subunit ribosomal RNA", at positions 67 to 652 of the family's 3401-position model. Lineage: Eukaryota; Fungi; Basidiomycota; Tremellomycetes; Trichosporonales; Trichosporonaceae. The record is from RNAcentral.